GUCCACAUAGUUUUUAAACCACUCCUUUGCUUUCUUGCAUUUCAAUGUGAACCCCGCCAUCUGAAUGGCUCUACUGUCACUAGCUCCCAACUCGUCAGUUAUCAUCUUUACCGUCUUGAGAUACUCAAACGGAUCAUCACCUGUUUUGUACUUGGGAGCAUCCAACUUCAAAUAAUCUAUCAUCUUCACCUUGCUCCCAACUGAUGAGUUAGGU
This 214-nucleotide long non-coding RNA is filed under the name Manihot esculenta (cassava). RNAcentral describes it as "long non-coding RNA (MESC_LNC007631)". Lineage: Eukaryota; Viridiplantae; Streptophyta; Magnoliopsida; Malpighiales; Euphorbiaceae. The record is from RNAcentral.